RNAcentral lists this unclassified non-coding RNA (358 nucleotides) under uncultured Myxotrichaceae. RNAcentral's name for it is "sequence contains ITS2". The stretch from base 1 to 154 matches the Rfam family "5.8S ribosomal RNA". Lineage: Eukaryota; Fungi; Ascomycota; Leotiomycetes; Myxotrichaceae. The record is from RNAcentral.
AACUUUUGGCAAUGGAUCACUUGGUUCUGGCAUCGAUGAAGAACGCAGCGAAAUGCGAUAAGUAAUGCGAAUUGCAGAAUUCAGCGAGUCAUCGAAUCUUUGAACGCACAUUGCGCCCUGUGGUAUUCCGCAGGGCAUGCCUGUUCGAGCGUCAUUUCAACCCUCAAGCUCUGCUUGGUGUUGGGCCCCGCCCGCUCGCGGCCGGCCCUAAAGACAGUGGCGGCAGCGUCUGGCUCCAAGCGUAGUACAAUCCUCGCUCUGGUGCUAGGCGGUGGCCUGCCAGAACCCCCCUUCUAUGGUUGACCUCGGAUCAGGUAGGGAUACCCGCUGAACUUAAGCAUAUCAAUAAGCGGAGGCU